UACGUAGGGUGCAAGCGUUGUCCGGAAUUAUUGGGCGUAAAGAGCUCGUAGGCGGUUUGUUGCGUCGGCUGUGAAAACCUGAGGCUCAACCUCAGGCCUGCAGUCGAUACGAUCAGGCUAGAGUGUUGCAGGGGAGACUGGAAUUCCUGGUGUAGCGGUGAAAUGCGCAGAUAUCAGGAGGAACACCGGUGGCGAAGGCGGGUCUCUGGGCAACAACUGACGCUGAGGAGCGAAAGCGUGGGGAGCGAACAGG
RNAcentral lists this ribosomal RNA (253 nucleotides) under uncultured bacterium. RNAcentral describes it as "partial 16S ribosomal RNA". It matches the Rfam family "Bacterial small subunit ribosomal RNA", at positions 524 to 776 of the family's 1533-position model. The record is from RNAcentral.